UCAUCCAUUUAACCAGCGACUUUCAAUGUGGAUAGUAUUGACUAUGACACUCCCUGCCCUUCAGAGCAAGAUCAGAUUGCAAAUGAUAUCAAAUGGCUUAUAAGCUUCUGGAAUCAACUGUGUGAUCUUCAAAACUGGCAACUUGAGAACAGAGCAGGAAGUAAGUGGUUCAGCUUUGGAUACCCUGGUAAGGAUCCCAACAGUCAAAGAGCAUGUUCCUUUGGAAGCCAUUGUCAAUGGAGGCAGGGCUGCCAUCAGCUGGCACUCAUCAGGAAGGUCCCACUGUGUCAGUCUGUCUGUUCCAACUACUUGUUUCAUCUUUUGAGUAUCACACCUACUGAUGACCUUGGCGUGAUGUCUAUUGCCCGAUGCCAGCAAGUUUCAAACACCUCCUCCUACAACUUGUAUAUCUCCCCAUGGGUAUAAGGAAUAAAGAAAGAGAAGGGAACCUUGUGAAAUGACUGGUGAUGCCCUCCCAAGGAGACUGGCAUAAACCAGAAGUGACUAAGUUUACCUUGAUUGUCGAGCUUAAGUUUUCCACUAUGAAUUUGUGAACUAAUUUAAGCUCAUUUACAGUGCAUUAAAGAGAGCUCCAUUUUGUUUUAACAUGUAAAAUUUUAACUGCUACAAAUGUGAAUCACUGCAUUUAAGCUUUCACUUCUCAUAUCUUGAUGUCAAAUGCGCCCCAAAGCCUCUAAAGCAAUCAGGCAUUUCCUAGAGGAGAUCUAAGGGGAAACAUGUUCUUCUGCAAUUUUAGAGGGCGGGAUGAUGGGCUCAUUGGGGGUGUAUUACCACAGUAGGGUCUCACUUACAAAGUGGCACGAUAGGAAUUGACCUUUCUACUUUUUAGGGAUUGGGAAAAGCUGUAAAGCAAACCCCUAUUAGAGAAGAGGCUGAAUGAUAUGUUUCUUUCACAUGAGUUGAAAUCAGGAGUACUUGAUUUCAAAUAGGAAAAGCAGCAAAUGGAAGAAGUGUAAAUGAUAGACUGGACAAAGGAAAUAUGGCACAUAUAUACCAUGGAAUACUAUGCAACCAUGAAAAAUGAUGAGUUUGUGUCCUUUGUAGGGACAUGGAUGAACCUGAAAACCAUCAUUCUCAGCAAACUGACACAAGAACAGAAAAUCAAACACUACAUGUUCUCACUCAUAGGCGGAUGUUGAACAAUGAAAACAUGUGGACACAGAGAGGGGAGCAUCACACACUGGGGUCCAUUGUGGGGCGGUUAGGGGAGGGAUAGU
RNAcentral lists this long non-coding RNA (1238 nucleotides) under Callithrix jacchus (white-tufted-ear marmoset). RNAcentral's name for it is "lncRNA (ENSCJAG00000081642.1)". The record is from RNAcentral. Lineage: Eukaryota; Metazoa; Chordata; Mammalia; Primates; Cebidae.